RNAcentral lists this unclassified non-coding RNA (257 nucleotides) under uncultured Nectriaceae. RNAcentral's name for it is "sequence contains 5.8S rRNA gene". The stretch from base 1 to 53 matches the Rfam family "5.8S ribosomal RNA", at positions 102 to 154 of the family's 154-position model. The record is from RNAcentral. Lineage: Eukaryota; Fungi; Ascomycota; Sordariomycetes; Hypocreales; Nectriaceae.
GAACGCACAUUGCGCCCGCCAGUAUUCUGGCGGGCAUGCCUGUUCGAGCGUCAUUUCAACCCUCAAGCCCCCGGGCUUGGUGUUGGGGCUCGGCCCGUCCCUAGCGGCGCGCCGUCCCCGAAAUCUAGUGGCGGUCACGCUGUACUCCUCUGCGUAGUAAUCUAACCUCGCAACGGGACAAAGCGCGGCCACGCCGUUAAACCCCCAACUUCUGAAGGUUGACCUCGGAUCAGGUAGGAAUACCCGCUGAACUUAAG